CUUUAAACAAAAAACUCUAAUUAAACAAGUGUGAGAGGGGAGGUUGAGAGCAUAAAACAGUAGAGAGAGAGAGAGUGACGCACUAGAAAAAUGCGUGUUCUGUGUGCGUAUCAAAGAAGAAAUCGCUUCUUCUUAAUAAGCUCUUAAAUUGUUGCUUCAAGUCCCAUAACUAAAAAUAGUAGCUGCUGUACCUAAACAAUGACUCGAUUCAGAUCCCAAUCUCUCUAACUGUCCAAUCAAUGAGAAAGUCUCCAUGCUGGGCCCUUAGCCCAGUGGGCUACCGUGAAGGCUUCUCGGCAUGAUUUCAUGCCAGUCGAACCAGCCCGGUCCUUCGGCCUAUUUCACAAGCAACUGGCAUAUAUGAAAAUAGACUCUGUGUAAUGGCACACUGCCAGCUUUCCAUCUUUGGCAUUCAUAGAUACCCGGAUCAAUCUUUGCACCCUCCGACUUGGCAUAUGCAUUUCUAUACCAUGCCAAAUAAGUUCAAGGCUAUUCGGGGUGUCUGAAAAAAUGUAUCUUCCAUGAACUAGUAUUGCAGAAUAGCACUGCAUAACUACAGGGCACUUUGGUGCUCGACAUUCUUAUCAGAAACAUAUGAACUUUUGUUUUUCGUUCCCUUCUUCCUAGUUUUACUAAUAAUUAUUCAUUAUUUAAUUUGUUCUAAAUUAAUAUAAUAAUUAAAUGUUAAAACUCAUAAAAUUAGUAAAUAAAAAUUACAAAAAAAAUGAAAAUGACACUCACUCACUCUAUCCAUUUAAAACACCGCUUAGUUUGAAUUUUUGAAAGAGUUUACCAUAUUUAAAAUAAUCUAUAAAGGACAUUUUUUGUAUAAUCUAAAAUAUUAUCCAUUUUACCUGAUAAAAGCAUGAAACAUAAGCUAAAUCACACGAAAGAAUUGUUGAAAUUUUGAAAAUUCUUUUCUGCAAUUCAGUAUGACUAUGUAUGCAAAGUUGAGUGAUGUUUUCAGGCUAGAUUCGGGUUUAUGAUUUGUUUUACUGCUGAAAAAUAAAUUCUAACAUUUUUAAACAUGUUGUCCUAAUGAUUGAUUAUGAAUUUAUAAACAAAAAAUAAAAUAGAAAAGGAAUUAGAAUGGAGAACAAACGCUUACCUAAACAGAGGCCUUGUUCAGGUGCAGCAGCUAUUAUUUUAAGUUCUAGGACUUGUAGCAAAAAUUUAGUAGCUAAUCUUCCAAAUAAAAAUUGUCUUAAGAAACCAAAAAACUAGAAUGAACAAAUCAAAAGAGGAAGAAAUGACUCACCUCAUCAACAAGAAGUAAUUUCUCCUCUGAUACUCACACAGAACAUGUGUUCUGUUCUGUGCGUUACUCUCUCUCUUUAUUAUUUUCUGCUUUCAACCUCCCCUCUCAUUCCCUUGUUUAACUCGAAUUUUAGGUUUGAAGAAGAUGAAGACGAAGUUGUGAAGAGAAGGAAGACUUUAUCAAAAUUUACCAAACAUCUCAGUCAUCUAAACACAUGCACGGCGUCCCAACCAUUGAUAUAUUGGAUGGCUGACCACAACUGGCAAAGAUGGCAAGUUUUCUUAACACCUAGUCUGUCAUCACAGCAGCUCACCAUGUCGCUCGGUCCUUGCCACAACUUGGAACAGUGAGUGGUGUAAAUCAGAGGCAACCAAUCUGCCCGAGUGUUAAUCAUUUCCUGCGGCAAGCUACUCAAAUUAAUUUCUUUUAUUUGUAUUUUAUUUUUUU
This is a non-coding RNA of Carica papaya (papaya), 1705 nucleotides long. Lineage: Eukaryota; Viridiplantae; Streptophyta; Magnoliopsida; Brassicales; Caricaceae. The record is from RefSeq and is a predicted model, not a curated record.